This is an RNA transcript of Setaria italica (foxtail millet), 1777 nucleotides long. RefSeq lists it as uncharacterized. The transcript has 2 exons. The record is from RefSeq and is a predicted model, not a curated record. Lineage: Eukaryota; Viridiplantae; Streptophyta; Magnoliopsida; Poales; Poaceae.
GGGGCAUUUUGCAAAUCCCCGGGCCGGGGACAUGGGCAUCCGGCGGCGCGCGCUGCCGCCGGUGGCCUCCGCUAGCCCCGCCGCUAAGCCUCCCGCGCUCCGAAUGCUUAGCUUCCAAGCGCAUCAUUCCCAGCCGCAGUCCGGGAGCGGGAGGUCGGCCAAGGCACGGAUCGAGCUGCGCCGCCGUGGCCGUCGGCCGUCGCAUCGUUUCCUCUUCACCCGGAAGGCCGGCUCCGCUCGCCGCCGCCCCGCAAGAACAGGUCGUGCAUUCCACCUUCAGAGAACUUCUCUUGCUCAGGAUAAAGCCUCAGUUACAAACUUCCUACCAGUAUUUCUGCAUUUGGAACUUCGGAUACAUGGGAAAUUGGAUGUAAUAGUUGGGAAUCUCAGUUACCUAUGUAGUUUGUACCUAUACCAUAUCAGUGUAGCUACUUGUUUUGAUGUCGGACACAAUGUCCAACAGUUAGAAAAGCUAGCAAAUAUAUUAUCUGGUUGAAGAGCAUAUGGGAGUUGAGACAGUAGAAAAGGCAAAGGCUCAAGUAAGUCCGAAGGUCAAACUCUCAAACAACAUAUGCAUGGACUAUUAGACUGGACUGACUUCUGCAUCUAGAGCAGGAGGGUGUUGUUCUAAAUACAUUAUUUGCUCUCCUUGCACUCCUCACUCGGGAGACAUCUCAGGCCAUUCCACAUCCCACUUGGUCAUUCUCUCCACCCGCUGUGUGAUCAUCCAAAUGGAAGUACUCCUUUCUGCAGUAUUUGGUGAAGUGUUCACUAGAUACAUAAAUUUCUUCAUCAACAAAAGUUCCAAGCUGCAGGUGUUGGGCAUGGAGGACUGUCUCUGGAGGGUCCUGCUCCGAGCACAGGUCAUUGUUGACGAGGCAAUGGGAUGGCACAUCACAAAUCAAGCUAUGCUCCAGGAGCUGAACGUGCUGAGAGACGCCAUACACCGAGGCUGUUAUGUAUCAGACAACUUCUGAUACAUAUCUUAUGAUGAGGAGGACGCCAAAGAUCAGGUUGUGAUUGUGAGCCAUUCUUUGACUCUCUCCAAACUAAAUUCUUUGAAAGGUUUCUGUUCCUCCAAUAGAAAGACACUGCUUUUAGAACAACUGCAAUAGGCCCUUGAUAAUUUGAGCUCUAUGCUCCUUGAUAUGGAAGAGCUGGUUGUGUUCUUGACGAGCUAUCCUCGCCUAUACCCCCAACCUUAUAACAUGCAUAUAUAUAACAUGCAUAUACUGCAGGACAACAGCAUGUUUGGCCGCCAAAUGAAAACAUAGCUUGUCCUCAACUUUCUAUUGCACACAACUUCAUUGUCCUAAGGAAUUGGAGGUUCUGCCAAUUGUAGGUCCCGGUAAAGUUGGCAAGAGCACCCUUGUAGCUCAUGUUUGCAAGGAUGAAAGAGUCUGUGGUCAUUUCUCAGAAAUAUUAUUAUUGCGUGACCAUGAUUUAAUAGAUGAUGAGGCAGCUCCUUUCAAAGAAGGAUGUGCAAUUAUACAUCAAAGUCGUGUUUUCAACUCGAACAAAAAUGGAAGAUUGCUAGUUGUCACAACUCACAACAUUUGUGGAGCUACCUUGUCCUGGGUAGUGAAGCUGUAAUCUACCUUGUCAUUCGUAGUGAAAAUUGUAUCGGCUUCUUCUUGCUAGAUUUGGCGUCCAGAAAUGUUUAGAUUGAGAUAUUUGAGUUGAAUUUGUACUGAUUGAGCUUGCAUUCGUUCCAAGUACAUGUGCUGUGUUAGUGCUGGAGUUUGAUACAAUAUGAUGCAUGCUCUGUUUCCUGGCC